Molecule: ribosomal RNA, 482 nt
Filed under: uncultured bacterium
Lineage: Bacteria
Description: bacterial SSU rRNA
Rfam family: Bacterial small subunit ribosomal RNA
Source: RNAcentral
AGAUUGAACGCUGGGGCAUGCUUUACACAUGCAAGUCAACGGUAACAGGUCUUCGGAUGCUGACGAGUGGCGAACGGGUGAGUAAUGUAUCGGAACGUGCCCAGUAGUGGGGGAUAACUACUCGAAAGAGUGGCUAAUACCGCAUGAGAACUGAGGUUGAAAGCGGGGGACCUUCGGGCCUCGCGCUACUGGAGCGGCCGAUAUCAGAUUAGGUAGUUGGUGGGGUAAAGGCCUACCAAGCCGACGAUCUGUAGCUGGUCUGAGAGGACGACCAGCCACACUGGGACUGAGACACGGCCCAGACUCCUACGGGAGGCAGCAGUGGGGAAUUUUGGACAAUGGACGCAAGUCUGAUCCAGCAAUGCCGCGUGCAGGACGAAGGCCUUCGGGUUGUAAACUGCUUUUGUACAGAACGAAAAGGCUCUGGUUAAUACCUGGGGCUCAUGACGGUACUGUAAGAAUAAGCACCGGCUAACUACGUG